This 235-nucleotide long non-coding RNA is filed under the name Carica papaya (papaya). RNAcentral's name for it is "long non-coding RNA (CPAP_LNC012420)". The record is from RNAcentral. Lineage: Eukaryota; Viridiplantae; Streptophyta; Magnoliopsida; Brassicales; Caricaceae.
UAGAUCCUCAUAAUGAUAUUCAGCUGGAUACAAAUCUAAGCAAGAUAUGUGCCUUCUUGAUGAUUAUUAAUCUUGAGGUCUUGAAUUAUUUCGAGCAUCCUCCAACUGGAAACCAUCAACUGGGCUAGCAUAGCUGAGUCCUUGCGACUAAGAGCAUCCACGAGAACGUUUCCCUGAUCGAGGUGGUAAAUGAUCUUGUAGUCGUAACCCUUGAGAAGAUCCAUAUAACGUCUCU